This 1507-nucleotide ribosomal RNA is filed under the name Limosilactobacillus reuteri. Its description in RNAcentral is "partial 16S ribosomal RNA". It matches the Rfam family "Bacterial small subunit ribosomal RNA". Lineage: Bacteria; Bacillati; Bacillota; Bacilli; Lactobacillales; Lactobacillaceae. The record is from RNAcentral.
UGGCUCAGGAUGAACGCCGGCGGUGUGCCUAAUACAUGCAAGUCGUACGCACUGGCCCAACUGAUUGAUGGUGCUUGCACCUGAUUGACGAUGGAUUACCAGUGAGUGGCGGACGGGUGAGUAACACGUAGGUAACCUGCCCCGGAGCGGGGGAUAACAUUUGGAAACAGAUGCUAAUACCGCAUAACAACAAAAGCCACAUGGCUUUUGUUUGAAAGAUGGCUUUGGCUAUCACUCUGGGAUGGACCUGCGGUGCAUUAGCUAGUUGGUAAGGUAACGGCUUACCAAGGCGAUGAUGCAUAGCCGAGUUGAGAGACUGAUCGGCCACAAUGGAACUGAGACACGGUCCAUACUCCUACGGGAGGCAGCAGUAGGGAAUCUUCCACAAUGGGCGCAAGCCUGAUGGAGCAACACCGCGUGAGUGAAGAAGGGUUUCGGCUCGUAAAGCUCUGUUGUUGGAGAAGAACGUGCGUGAGAGUAACUGUUCACGCAGUGACGGUAUCCAACCAGAAAGUCACGGCUAACUACGUGCCAGCAGCCGCGGUAAUACGUAGGUGGCAAGCGUUAUCCGGAUUUAUUGGGCGUAAAGCGAGCGCAGGCGGUUGCUUAGGUCUGAUGUGAAAGCCUUCGGCUUAACCGAAGAAGUGCAUCGGAAACCGGGCGACUUGAGUGCAGAAGAGGACAGUGGAACUCCAUGUGUAGCGGUGGAAUGCGUAGAUAUAUGGAAGAACACCAGUGGCGAAGGCGGCUGUCUGGUCUGCAACUGACGCUGAGGCUCGAAAGCAUGGGUAGCGAACAGGAUUAGAUACCCUGGUAGUCCAUGCCGUAAACGAUGAGUGCUAGGUGUUGGAGGGUUUCCGCCCUUCAGUGCCGGAGCUAACGCAUUAAGCACUCCGCCUGGGGAGUACGACCGCAAGGUUGAAACUCAAAGGAAUUGACGGGGGCCCGCACAAGCGGUGGAGCAUGUGGUUUAAUUCGAAGCUACGCGAAGAACCUUACCAGGUCUUGACAUCUUGCGCUAACCUUAGAGAUAAGGCGUUCCCUUCGGGGACGCAAUGACAGGUGGUGCAUGGUCGUCGUCAGCUCGUGUCGUGAGAUGUUGGGUUAAGUCCCGCAACGAGCGCAACCCUUGUUACUAGUUGCCAGCAUUAAGUUGGGCACUCUAGUGAGACUGCCGGUGACAAACCGGAGGAAGGUGGGGACGACGUCAGAUCAUCAUGCCCCUUAUGACCUGGGCUACACACGUGCUACAAUGGACGGUACAACGAGUCGCAAGCUCGCGAGAGUAAGCUAAUCUCUUAAAGCCGUUCUCAGUUCGGACUGUAGGCUGCAACUCGCCUACACGAAGUCGGAAUCGCUAGUAAUCGCGGAUCAGCAUGCCGCGGUGAAUACGUUCCCGGGCCUUGUACACACCGCCCGUCACACCAUGGGAGUUUGUAACGCCCAAAGUCGGUGGCCUAACCUUUAUGGAGGGAGCCGCCUAAGCGGGACAGAUGACUGGGGUGAA